Molecule: ribosomal RNA, 673 nt
Filed under: uncultured bacterium
Lineage: Bacteria
Description: bacterial SSU rRNA
Rfam family: Bacterial small subunit ribosomal RNA
Source: RNAcentral
AGAGUUUGAUCAUGGCUCAGAUUGAACGCUGGCGGCAUGCUUUACACAUGCAAGUCGAACGUGAAAGCGGACUUCGGUGCGUGAUUUAAGUGGCGAACGGGUGAGUAAUACGUCGAUAAUUUACCCGCCAGUCAGGGAUAACAUUUCGAAAGGAAUGCUAAUACCGGAUAAGGCUACGCCCUCUUCGGAGGAAGUAGGAAAAGGUGGGCACCUUCUGGCCCUGGCGUUGUUGGAUGAGCCCGUGUCCGAUUAGCUAGUUGGUAGGGUAAAGGCCUACCAAGGCGACGAUGGGUAGCUGGUCUGAGAGGAUGAUCACCCACACUGGGACUGAGACACGGCCCAGACUCCUACGGGAGGCAGCAGUGGGGAAUUUUGGGCAAUGGGCCGAAAGCCUGACGCAGGCAAUGCCGCGUGAGUGAAGAAGGCCUUCGGGUCGUAAAGCUCUGUCAGAGGGGAAGAACCAUCUCUCAUAUAAUACUUGACAGGCCUGACGGUACCCUCAGAAGAAGCACCGGCUAACUACGUGCCAGCAGCCGCGGUAAUACGUAGGGUGCAAGCGUUAUUCGGAAUUACUGGGCGUAAAGCGCACGAAGGCGGUCUUUCAAGUCAGAUGUGAAAUCCCGGGGCUCAACCUGGGAAGUGCAUUGGAAACUGGCAGACUAGAGUAUGGGAG